UGGGGAAUAUUGGACAAUGGGCGAAAGCCUGAUCCAGCCAUGCCGCGUGUGUGAAGAAGGUCUUCGGAUUGUAUAGCACUUUAAGUUGGGAGGAAGGGCAGUAAGCGAAUACCUUGCUGUUUUGACGUUACCGACAGAAUAAGCACCGGCUAACUCUGUGCCAGCAGCCGCGGUAAUACAGAGGGUGCAAGCGCUAAUCGGAAUUACUGGGCGUAAAGCGCGCGUAGGUGGUUCGUUAAGUUGAAUGUGAAAGCCCCGGGCUCAACCUGGGAACUGCAUCCAAAACUGGCGAGCUAGAGUAGGGCAGAGAGUGGUGGAAGUUCCUGUGUAGCGGUGAAAUGCGUAGAUAUAGGAAGGAACACCAGUGGCGAAGGCGACCACCUGGGCUCAUACUGACACUGAGGUGCGAAAGCGUGGGGAGCAAACAGG
Molecule: ribosomal RNA, 429 nt
Filed under: Pseudomonadota bacterium
Lineage: Bacteria; Pseudomonadati; Pseudomonadota
Description: Proteobacteria bacterium partial 16S ribosomal RNA
Rfam family: Bacterial small subunit ribosomal RNA
Source: RNAcentral